RNAcentral lists this transfer RNA (66 nucleotides) under Hypomecis punctinalis (pale oak beauty). Its description in RNAcentral is "tRNA-Phe". The record is from RNAcentral. Lineage: Eukaryota; Metazoa; Arthropoda; Insecta; Lepidoptera; Geometridae.
AUUUAAAUAGCUUAUAUUUAGAGCAUAAUAUUGAAGAUAUUAAGGAGAUAUUUUUAUCUUUAGAUA